GUUUGCUUAUUUUAGGGUAUUGCGUAAGCGUUUCUAAAAGCGGUAUAUUUUGUAAUCUUGCUUUAAUUAGACUAUUUAGAAGGAUAUAGAAUUUUGUUUUGUAAAUAUAUAGGAAGGCGAGGCUAAGCUAAGUUUUAACUAGAUUUCACAAGCGAAGAGAAUUUGAUUUUAACGUGUUCACUCAAGUGUGACGAGGCAGUGUUUAUCGAAGCUGGCGGAGGCCGUGUGAAUUUACAAGUUGAGUGAAGCUGGUGGAGGCCGUGAUUGUCCUCAGUGGAUUUCAACCGUACUUCAAGACUGUCGCAAGACACAGACACAAAGUAUUUCCUGAAGAGAACGUCGACUCAUUGCAAAUCGUUGACGAUACUUCGAAAUUAUGAGCACUGGUAGAUUGUCAACUGUUUGAAGAACAAGGAAGAUCGCUGCCUGUUGUCGCUUCCUGAUCGAUGUCCCUUGCCAGAAAAGAGAAAGCAAAUACCUUCACCAAAUACCGAGACGAUGGCUCAUCGCGUAAAACAAGAACAUUCUCCAACCUUUUCGCACAGUAAAAGAAAUAUCUUUCAAAGUCUAACUUAAAGUAGAGGCAAAGGGUUGCAUUUAAGACCAUUUAAUGAGUUUUAAGACUAAGGAAAGUAGAUAUACUGCGGGACUUUUCAAAAGCCUUCAGCUGCCAACAUUUCUGCGUCAUCACUUUCGAUUUCUUCCAAAAUAAUGUCCACCACAGCUUAUGGUAUAUUUUGGAAGACACUAAGGAGAAAUUAAAAUACAAUGUCCUAUGUAUUGAGAAGAAAAUGCAAAGAAUACGACUUUAUCUGCUGUCAAUUAACGGGUUGUAUCCCUGAAUAUAGGUAAUGCUGAAGUUUAUGUAAAUUCUGUUUGGAAACAGUUUCCGCUUCAGUUCUUUCACACGUCCUAGAUUGUUCCUAUUUUCAAUGGAUAAACAACACUUGUGCUAAUAUUAAAUUAACUACAUCGUUCGUUUACAAUUGCUACAAUGCGAUGAUUCUUCAACAACUAGUCGCAGGUUUUUGUCUUUUAAAUCUGCAUUAGUAAAUGGUCAGACAAAUAAUUUCGUCUCGUCUCCAUGUCUAAAAAUAA
This 1098-nucleotide unclassified non-coding RNA is filed under the name Stylophora pistillata. RNAcentral's name for it is "uncharacterized LOC111341452, transcript variant X2". The record is from RNAcentral. Lineage: Eukaryota; Metazoa; Cnidaria; Anthozoa; Scleractinia; Pocilloporidae.